Molecule: ribosomal RNA, 254 nt
Filed under: uncultured bacterium
Lineage: Bacteria
Description: partial 16S ribosomal RNA
Rfam family: Bacterial small subunit ribosomal RNA
Source: RNAcentral
UACGUAGGGUGCAAGCGUUGUCCGGAAUUAUUGGGCGUAAAGAGCUCGUAGGCGGUCUGUCGCGUCUGCUGUGAAAACUCAGGGCUUAACCCUGAGCUUGCAGUGGGUACGGGCAGACUAGAGUGCGGUAGGGGAGACUGGAAUUCCUGGUGUAGCGGUGAAAUGCGUAGAUAUCUGGAGGAACACCGGUGGCGAAGGCGGCAUCCUGGACCGGUAUUGACGCUGAGGCGCGAAAGCCAGGGGAGCAAAGCGGG